AUGUCGUGUCUUUUGGAGAGCCAGUGAAUCCGCGACCAGGAACAUCCCUCCGCAUACCUUCGUGGAGGGGACGCCGGAUAUCGUGGAUCUUUCGUGUUUACUGGCCCUCCAAGAGCUUCGAUCUUUUCGUCUACUGGUCUGCUUAAAAGAGUGACUGAAGAAGAAAGGAUUUAGUGAAACCAAUUUUUGGCUGCUCUGUUAAUCGAUCAUACCGAAUCGAGAUUCGAAAACAUCGACAGCCGUGAGACGGUCAACAAGCGACGACGCACACCAAAGCAUGAAUAUCUUUUCUUUCUACUGUCUUCGUACUUCGUACUUUUAUCUUACUCGGUCGUAAGUGCACACGUAUCGCUUUUAUCAGUUCAUAAGAAACGACACCGUGAACGCUUU
This is a long non-coding RNA of Bombus pascuorum, 390 nucleotides long. RefSeq lists it as uncharacterized. The transcript has 2 exons. Lineage: Eukaryota; Metazoa; Arthropoda; Insecta; Hymenoptera; Apidae. The record is from RefSeq and is a predicted model, not a curated record.